This 662-nucleotide ribosomal RNA is filed under the name Synechocystis minuscula SAG 258.80. Its description in RNAcentral is "bacterial SSU rRNA". It matches the Rfam family "Bacterial small subunit ribosomal RNA", at positions 99 to 795 of the family's 1533-position model. The record is from RNAcentral. Lineage: Bacteria; Bacillati; Cyanobacteriota; Cyanophyceae; Synechococcales; Merismopediaceae.
CGGACGGGUGAGUAACGCGUGAGAACCUACCUUCAGAAUGGGGACAACAGUUGGAAACGACUGCUAAUACCCAAUGUGCCGAGAGGUGAAAGAUUUAUCGUCUGAAGAUGGGCUCGCGUCUGAUUAGCUAGAUGGUGAGGUAAAGGCUCACCAUGGCAACGAUCAGUAGCUGGUCUGAGAGGAUGAGCAGCCACACUGGGACUGAGACACGGCCCAGACUCCUACGGGAGGCAGCAGUGGGGAAUUUUCCGCAAUGGGCGAAAGCCUGACGGAGCAAUACCGCGUGAGGGAGGAAGGUCUUUGGAUUGUAAACCUCUUUUAUUAGGGAAGAAGUUCUGACGGUACCUAAUGAAUAAGCAUCGGCUAACUCCGUGCCAGCAGCCGCGGUAAUACGGAGGAUGCAAGCGUUAUCCGGAAUUAUUGGGCGUAAAGCGUCCGUAGGUGGUCUUUCAAGUCUGCUGUUAAAGCAUGGGGCUUAACCCCAUAAAGGCGGUGGAAACUGAAAGACUAGAGUACAGUAGGGGUAGCAGGAAUUCCCAGUGUAGCGGUGAAAUGCGUAGAUAUUGGGAAGAACAUCGGUGGCGAAAGCGUGCUACUGGGCUGAAACUGACACUGAGGGACGAAAGCUAGGGUAGCGAAAGGGAUUAGAUACCCCUGUAGUC